GGUGGAGGAACCAGACUGGAUGUUGGAAGUGAUGUCCGUCCCACCCUGACGGUGCUGCCCCCCUCCAGCGAGGAGCUGCAGCAGGGGAAGGCCACGCUCAUGUGCCUGGCCAACAAGGGCUUCCCCUCAGACUGGAGUCUGGCCUGGAAGGUGGACGGCAGCAGCAGCAGCAGCAGCUGGGAGGAGAGCAGGAGCCCCGGGGUGCUGCAGAAGGACGGCCACUACAGCUGGAGCAGCACCCUAAGGCUCUCUGCAGACCAGUGGAGGAAGGUGGGCUCUGUGACCUGUGAGGCCACCCAGGGCUCCCAGACUCCGCUCUCAGAGACACUGAGGAGAGACCAGUGUUCCCAGUCCUGACCUGACUCACUGGGACUCUGCUACUGGUUUUCCUCUGCUCCUGCUCUCACUCUGCACUCUGGAACUGUCUCUCUCUUUUAUUUGACAUCUUUCAACAGCAAGAUUUACUAGCUUGUUGCACUGUUUCAAUAUUAUUUCAGUGUUUCCAGAUAAUAAAGACCUUUUCAUCCAA
Molecule: non-coding RNA, 529 nt
Organism: Micropterus salmoides (largemouth bass)
Lineage: Eukaryota; Metazoa; Chordata; Actinopteri; Centrarchiformes; Centrarchidae
Source: the annotation of a RefSeq genome assembly